Meriones unguiculatus (Mongolian gerbil) is the source of this 188-nucleotide small nuclear RNA. Its record names the gene U2. It matches the Rfam family "U2 spliceosomal RNA". Rfam says of the family: U2 is a small nuclear RNA (snRNA) component of the spliceosome (involved in pre-mRNA splicing). The record is from Ensembl. NCBI's taxonomy places the organism in Eukaryota, Metazoa, Chordata, Mammalia, Rodentia, Muridae.
ACUGUUUCUUAGCAUUUUGGCUAAAAAAAAGUAUAGUGUCUGUUAUCAGUACAAUAUCCAAUGUAGCCUCUAUCCAAGGACAGUAUGUUACAUGAAUUUUUGGAGCUAAGAGAUGGAAUAGGAACAGUUUCUGUCCACGCCAUACAUUGACCUGGUAUUUCAGUUCCUCCAGGAACAGUGCACCACCU